AUACGUAGGGGGCUAGCGUUACCCGGAUUCACUGGGCGUAAAGCGUGCGUCGGCGGCUCCGUAAGUCGGACGUGAAAGCUCCGGGCUCAACCCGGAGAGGUCGUCCGAAACUGCGGAGCUUGAGGACGGGAGAGGGGGGUGGAAUUCCCGGUGUAGCGGUGAAAUGCGCAGAUAUCGGGAGGAACACCAGUGGGGAAGCCGGCCCCCUGGCCCGCUCCUGACGCUGAGGCGCGAAAGCGUGGGGAGCGAAGGGGAUUAGAAACCCGAGUAGUCC
Molecule: ribosomal RNA, 274 nt
Filed under: uncultured bacterium
Lineage: Bacteria
Description: partial 16S ribosomal RNA
Rfam family: Bacterial small subunit ribosomal RNA
Source: RNAcentral